Long non-coding RNA from Centrocercus urophasianus (Greater sage-grouse), 8264 nucleotides. RefSeq lists it as uncharacterized. The transcript has 3 exons. NCBI's taxonomy places the organism in Eukaryota, Metazoa, Chordata, Aves, Galliformes, Phasianidae. The record is from RefSeq and is a predicted model, not a curated record.
UCAUAAAAUAAUUGGGCCAGAUCACUUGUUGGCAGGAACUUGCAACUGGGAAAAAGGCUUAAUUGGAUUGACAGGCAAGAAAAGGGAUUAUGGUGCAGGACGGAAGAAACAAAUGGUGAGAUUUGGUGUAGGCUGCCCAGGCUGGUGGCGGAGUCGCUGUCCUGGAGGUUUUCAUAAGAAGAGUGGACACGGCACUGAGGGACAUGCACUGGGAAGGCCACAGCUGGCCUCUGUCCUGCCCUCAGUGACGCUUUUCCAGAAGAGAGCAAUGCGAGUCGGUUGCAGAAUUGUCAACUAUGGAAAAGAAAGAAGCACCACAGUCCUCCCUAACCUAAAGGAGAAAGCAGCAGAGAGGUAGGCUGUCAAAUCGUGAAGAUUGUUUUUAAAAAACAUUGAGCCAUUUUUACUUUCUCAUUGGAAGUAAGCUGAGGGGUUGGACAGUCAGAGAGAGAGCCUCAGCCCACCGCUAACCCUGCAAAGCCAUGUGAGUUGGUUGGCUUGUUUGGGGUGGGUAUUCUCAAAUCCAGUAAAACAAGUUGCUUCUCCCCUACAUAUUUCACUGUAAUCAGUUCUGGUGAAACAUCAGAAGGCAACAUUCAGAAUUGUGAUCAAAUUGAAUAAUUUAAUAUCUUUGAGCAUGUUUACUGAGCCUCACCUCUUCCAUUUUAUGCACAGCACAUUGGCUGUAGGCUUCUCUCACAAUUACAGUAAUUUAUUAUGCAAUAUCUGUAGCAGAUGCUGAGCUUGAUUCUAUUGUUGUCUGCCUUUUGGUUGGUUUUUUUUUUGUUUGUUUUUUUUUUUUUUUUUUUUUUUUUUAAUUUUUAGCUAUUGGAGCAUAGGUUUUGUCUGUUCAAUCCUUGUUUCCACCCCAUGCCUGUAACUGUGGUAUCUCCAGCAUACCUGUCCUGAAAGAGAGGGUUGUGGCUGCUAGAUUCAAGUUGAUGCUCUUUUCUUACCUGUGGCAAAAUUUUCUACUUCUUUUCUUGCUACUGAAUCAAAAACUCUGACUUCUUUGAUGUAGUCUUGUUGGGACAGGAGCUCUGUGAUCUUUUCCCCAAUAAAACCACAUCCUCCUGUCACCAGGUAGACCUGGGCUCCAUCCAUUUCUGAGGACGUUUUUGUGGUUAAGGAGCAGAGAGAUCCUAUAGUGCACUGUUGAUCUCUCAGCCAAUAUGUUUUCUGAUCUAAGUCUAAAGUCUAACCUUCACAGUGUUGGUGUUAUUGGCUGAACAUUAACUCCAUCCAGUUAUGCGUAAGUCAGGUUUUUGCUGGCACAGCCACAUUGGUGCUACAUGCUGUUCUGGUCUUUCUGACUCAGCCUUUCCCUUCCACUCACUGGUGUAGGAUCAGUGGGGCACCUCCAGCUUGUCUCGGUCCUUUGCCCAUCUUAGCCCACAGUUGCCAUGCUGAGUGUUUUUCAUGGUCAGUUGGUGUAGGUUGGACCUCUGUGCAAAGAGUGCAUGUCCUGGAGUGUGCUCAGGGCAUCCCUCAUUUAGUGUGAAGCUACUAAAAAGUUCUUGCUGACAUGCACUAAUGAAUUUGUAUAGACAGUGAAACAGCAGCAGAUCUACCCAGCGCUGUGUAGAACUGCACACAAUGCAGGCAGGUUCAAGAAUGGGCAUUUGUAAUGUCCAUGAUGGCUUUGCUGAAUUAAUUCUGCUUGGAAUUGGAAUACACACACACACACAUUUAGGAGGAGAAAGUCCACUUAAUUUGAAAAAUGUGUAGUAGCAAAAGCUGUACCACAUCCUAUGGCAAAUUGUUGCAGUAAUUAAUCACUGUCAUUGUUAAGAACGGACUGUUGUGUUUUAUUCAAUGGACAGUGGCUAAUACACCUUCUCCUCGCUGAACUAUGGACAUAUGUUAUCCAGUUUGUCAUGUGGAUAAAAAAUGGGAUUGAAGGGUUAAGACAGUUUAUUCAAAGGCUAUCAGUAUUUUGCUUGUGUGUGUUUUGGGGAUCAGCUCCUGCUACAAGUGCAAGCUGUUAACUCUGCCAUUGAUUUUCCUUGUGCUGUGUUAAGCAUUGGGAAAAGAACCAUUUCCCCCAUGAUUACAGUCCCUGGCCAUAAUGGCCCAGAGACCAGCACAGACCUGAAGCUAAUUGGUACUUGGCAGACCAAUGCAGCCACAAACGUCCCAAGAAAUUAGUUUGGCCUUUUAUCCAGCAACUCCCAAUCCGUACACUAGUGAUUAACAGCCCUGCCUUCCCUCAGGGGACUUGUGCAAGGAUAAAUAUAUCAGAGUUGGAGAUCUUUGGACACAAAAACAAGAUAAAUACACCCUGAAGGACCCAGAGCAGUGCUGCAUGGGAAUGUUUGGCAACAAGUUACCUUGAGCCUCUCCUGAUCAGCACUGCAAAAAAAUCUGCAUGAAGUUGAGGCCUUGACUCUGUGGACGUUUCUCGUUGUUUACAGUACUUUGCUACAGUAGUGAUAGCUGCGUAUCUACGGUGUGAUAUGAGCAGUGGGAAGAGCACUGGCUGUGAUUUACACAUCUCUUGUUUGUAUUAGGGAGCAAAAACAAGUUCAGAAACCAGACGUGUCACCUAUGACAGAAGCACUUGGGGUCCUUUGCCACCUCCUCCCAUGCCUGGCUGUGGAGGCUUCCUUGCAAUGCAGGAUGUGCAAACUUUAUCUUGCUUGAAGGCUUACCAAGGCUCCCUUCCCUUCUUUUCUUCCUUCUUUCUUUCCUUCCUUCCUUCCCUACCCGGAUUUGCAUACAUACAGUGAGAGAAAGCUGAGAUGGCAGGAAAGAAAAACAGAUGCCUUAAUUUCAGGAUGCAUUCUGCUUGAACUUGCUCUGAACUUUGUAAAUGCAGGACACCUGACAUCAUACUCAUUUACAGUAUGUUUAUUUCUCAGUGCAUUACAUGAAAGGUCUUUGGUAUUUGUGGGUUCUUGAAUACUGUUCCCACUCUGCUCUGUAAGAAAAUGCUGAAUACAAAACAUUCCAUAUACAGUAACAAAACCCAUAGCAAAUAAAGAGAAAUAGGUAUCUUGAACAAUAACAUAGCAAUAUGAAAACAGGUAAGUAACCAUGCAAGAGGUGGAACAAACAGGUUGUGUUUACAACAAACAUUAGAGCCUGCCAUAAAUUAACUCAUCGUGUCAGAAGAGAUUAUUUAUUUGUGUUCUAAGUUUAGAAACUACACGACUGCAAAAUACUGCCUAUGGCUGCCCUAUUAAAGACCAAAUGUUGUAUAGCUUAUUACAAUGGGACCAUUUGCACACAUACAAAACACACUGAUAUAAAUAAAAAGAUACUGCGUAAAAUAAGUAGUGAAAAAAUUAACAUUUCCUUCUAUGGGUGGGAAUGUGCACUGUGGACAGUUAUAGCACCUUUGAAUUGCCUGGUUUCAAAGCAAUAAUGGAAACUGCAAGUAGUUUAACCCCUAUAUCACCAAGCACGGAAUGUAAUCUUGAGUAAAGCAGAAGCUGUAAACAUGGAAGAGAAAGAAUUUCCAAUAUACUGUAUUAAGAAGUAAUUCCAGAAGCUGAUUGUCUUUUGGAAGCCUUUGUCACAGUGGUCGGGUUCAUUACAUUAAAACAGUUCAUUGAAGAGACUGGGAUUGAAAGUGAAUCCCAGAGCCAAACUUUCAGGAAGCCAUGUGCACCAGUUCUUGUGAGCUGGCAACUUGGAUCUGCUUGUUAUGGCCUGUCCCUGUUCCUAUGGAAGGUGUUGGGAAAAUUACUGUGCAGUUUGGUGGGAGCAGAUGAGGGUUCUUCUCUCUGGUUUAUUCUUAUUUCCCCAGGUUGCUAUCAAUUCUUUACAGUAAGUGCAAAUUGGAUACUCUGGAGAGAAGUAUUCUCCACCUCCCAGGUGUACCAGAUUGCUGGUGAACGUCAGGGUGCACAAGUUGCAAAGAUUUUCAGUUGUGCAAUGUGCUUCUGGUUAGCUCACAGCAAGGAGAAUGCAUUUCUACCACCAGAACUGAUCCAAGUUAGAAACACACUGGCGUUCAAAGAAACAUGAAGAAUUUCAAAGAAGUCUUAGGAAAAAAAGGAAAAGAACACACUAUGGUAUUGCACAGUAUGCAUGUAAGAUAAAGCACUAAACAUUUCAAUUAAAAUAUAUUUCUAAAUGAGCACGCAUCCAAAUAAAUCCACUCUCUAAGUUACACAGACAUGGCAAGAUGCGUAGAUGCCCAGGCUAAAUGAAUCUUAGUAUCCUGCCUAAGAUGGGAAACGUGGUUGGAGUGGUUGGCUUAGUCAUGAAUGCCAUUAAUUGCUGAGUGUGAGGCUGUGUUCACCUUCACAGCAUAUUUAAACUGGGACUGUACAAGAGCAUGGUCCAACCAUUGCAUAAGUAGUGAGGAACGAAACUCCAGGUGAGAGGGAAAGUCCAGUUGGUUUAAUCCCACUGUAACCAAAUUAAAGAUACAGUACCACGUGAAAGAGUGAUACAGGAACAAAGCAAGAAGUGUGGAGAGCGAAAGCUGACAUAGCUCUUAAAUCAAUUUAGAAAAGGCAAUAAUUAAAACUGUUGCAACCCAAACCUAACCAAUCUUAUGACUGUUGGCUUGGCAGGAUUAAUUGGAAACAACUUCAAUUACAUUUCCUUUCAUCUUACCAUUAAUUUGUUUUAAAUAAUUUCUUCAUUUAAAAUCUGAAAUCCUAGUCAGUAUGAAUGAAGAAAGUACUCAUUAAGCUAAUGCAAUAGCUUGGAAUUCAUAAGGGCAAACUCGGAGGAAAAAACAUUUCUCUUUCAAUUCAAUGUGAAAGCUCCAAAAUGCCAGGGAAAUGAAAAAGGACCCAUUGUUCUUUUGCUCCAGAUUCAACCCUGAAGUCAGAGGACCAGUGAAAUGAAUUUUAAUGUUUCACCUUUUCAAUAUUGCUUGGUUAAUUCCUGAAUCUGAAACCUUAAUACAGCCAGUACCUCUAGCUUGCACCAGUCUGCUCAGCAUACAUGUUUAGCUUGGUCUGUGAUUUCUCCUCAGCUAUUUAUGUAGCUGUACAGCAGUAGAAGCUUCUCCAUGUGGACAGUUUUCUCUGUUACUUGUUAAGCAUCAACUUAUGCUAUUUUGCCCAUUUUGAGAAGGAUGGUUGGAUUUCUAGGGAACGGGGCCAAACGAACCCAUUUGGCAAACUCAGUUAUUCUAAAGUAGCCUUUAUCCUGUUCAUUUCUGAAAAUACGAUGCCCUUCAGAGGUAACAUUUGGGUGUUAUGAUGUCUCUGUGUGUUUACAAUAUAUGCAAAAGGUCAAUUUAAUGCGUGGUCAAUGGGCUGGCAAAACUCCUUCAUUUUAAGGUUCAUUUCCAGUAUAGAAUGUUUGUGUUUUUACCUUAGAAAGGUCACUUUGGAUGAUGAGGAUUCCUGAAUGCAUGGACCAUACAUACAUACAGUGGUUUCUACAAAAGCUUUUGACAAAAAGUAGUUGUAGCAGUUCUGCUUGCCUCUUUCAGAUAGCUAUAUACCUUGCACUAGGAAGCAGACAGAACGCAACAAAUGUUUGUGACUGAUGCGUUAAGAUGACAAACACAAUUUGCUCGCUUUUGUUCUGGUCUACAGGUAAAAAUUUGACAGAACAGUGAUAAAUGUAUAUAUAUACACCUAAGUAAAAACAGUACCAUUGGUUGUGUCGAUCAGUCUUACCAUUUCUAACAAAAUUCCAUGUCUACGUGAAUGGCUUGUCUAAUUGGAUUUGCACAGAAGGUGUAAGAGAUUCAUUGGUCACUGAAGGGCAGGUUCAGCCUCUUCACCUUGAAUGCUGGGACUUUCGUCAAAAAGUUGUUAUUGCAAAUAGUAGAAUGAUUUUGUAUUUAGCUUCUGAGUGCAGGAUAACCUCCUGUCAAGACUAAUCCCAGAGUGUGAUUUGCUGUUACAACUGUCUGGGGAUUCAAGUAGCAAAGAUUCUCCCAUAGAAUAAAAAUACCCAUGGUAAUACUUUUCCUUAUUGAUGUUUCUUAACUCUACAUUUUCUGGUAAUAGUUAUUGGUGUUACUAAAUUUUCUCUGUAUGUAUGUGCAAAAUGAACACAGCAUGGUAAAACUCCAUUGCAUCUGCUCUAAAUUUUCACAGAAACAGUCAGAUCUCAUUGAAGUCAGUGUACACUAUCAACAUUUUCAUCAAAAGUCCUUUCACCAAUACAAUUAAUGCCAUUCACAUGCAAUCUGCAACAUGUAGAGUAGAGAUUUUGAUGCUGAAUUCUGAACAGUAAUCAGAAUUUUCAGAUGAACAGUAUAAAACAUUCCUGGAAUUUUCCAAUUUGUUCUUUGCUUAAGAGAAAUCCUUGCAGAUAAGAAUGCUUUAAAGGCUUAUGAAAGUGUUACCUUCAACUGGGAGUCAGCUUGACACCACUGCAUGAAACAAAAGCAGAUGCCACCAACUACACUGAAGGACAAGGUUAAGGUUUGGCUUUGAGCCUAGUUGGGAUUGAUUAUGUCAGCCAGUUAAGCAGGGCUUUACCGAGUGACUUUCAAGGGCUGUAGGGAACAAGGGAAUGAUUAAACUCUGGAGACAUAUUCAGGAGGUGUUAUUGCUAUGGACGGCUUCCAAGGGUACAUGGCAUCUGGUAUUCCAAAGGCAAAAUAACAAAAUCAAGAAAAGUGUCCAUACGACCCUCUCCAAGCUCGGGGUAAGGUACUCCCUGCAAUAAGGGCAUAGCAUUGGCCAGGUAAGCAAAUCCAACUGCCAAUACUAGAGCUUCCCACUCACUUCAUUUGCACUCUGUAAUUAAGCACUGGGAUACUGUAUCUUUAACUGGUGGACGAGCAGGGAGAAGACAGAGAUGCUCCUACUUCAUCCGACUGCUUCUCCUUUUGGCUUCACUGUCAUCCAGCAGUGAAGAGAGGAUCUGGUAGGCUUGAGGCUGCUGAGGUCCUCCACGCUUGAUCUUGAUGCUGCUUCGCAGAGGAGAACCCGGGAUCACGUCUUGUCCAGAGCCUGGCUCAAUGGAAGAUAAAGAGUCUGUAAGGAGAGAAAGUCACGGGAAAGCACUAUUUAAAAGGGGAGGCUAAGGAAAGACUGAAUGGGCCUUUCUGAAUUCCUCUUCUGGAAGACGUGUCGUCCCUCCUGCUGUCUUUCUGUCCACCAAGAAGUCGUGUUUGCUGCCAUCGUAUUACUCCAAUAUUUAGCCCUGUCUGAACUUUGGGGUAAAUACUAGUACUGCAAGCAACACAGCAGCUCUUGUUCCUAUUUGUCACCUCAUUUAUAAAAACACUGCUCUGUUAUUGAUCACAAUUUGCCUUGGGCUGCAAUGGCUACUCAGCACUGCCCACAGACUCCUGUUACUGAAGGACAAAGCAUUAGCAAGGGGUCACACAGAAGUGAUUUUCCUGGGGAUAGAGGUACCAUUUCACUCCUUGUGAAGGUGGAUGUCUUUCCUGAAAGGAUUGAAUGAAAAGCUUGAUUCACCCUAGGCUACAGCCACAUUAGCCAUGAAGCUGGGAAUAAAUAUUAGCUGUCUGUUCUCCCAGCAUGCUUCAUGUUAACACACACGUCCUCUUCCUACAGCAUCCUGCUUUACAGAGCUAGAUGUGCUUUUGACUACGGCCACUAUUCAAUUUUCCCAGCAGUCAGCAGCAGAUGCUGCCAAUGCAAUGCUGCCUCAUCACUUGGAAUGCCCUACUUUCAUCCUUUUACCUUCCGAGAGGGAUGUUUGUUUGCUCAUUUCCCUGCCAAGUGUUCAACCUCACACACCAGACCCCCAGCCUUGGUUCAUUCACUUGAGGCAGCACUUCUAUGCCAAGGGAGCAAUUGACUUCAGGAUUUGUGCCGUUGUUCGCUGCAAGCACGCACUGCCAAACAGUUUGGGCUUUCCUGUGUCCUGCUGGGCUGCUCUCCACUGUGUGCUGGGCCAGAUAAUCUCCCACUGCCCUCCCACUGCAGAGAAGAGGUUUGUUUGCUGGUAUGUUUUGCCUUGUUGCUUGGGUGGCUGUGGUUUUGAAACCAUGAAGUUUCCUGGGAAAAUGAGAGCAUGCGAUUGGCAUUUCUGCGUGGGUCUCUGAACUGGAAUUGAGCUACCCAGGAACCUGGGUUGGGAAGAAAUUGGCACAGCAACUUUUGGCAGCUCUGAGAGAAUUGAUCCUCAAAUACCACCAAGGGAGAAGUCUGAUCUGUGAUGACUACACAACCCCACACUCUGGUUAAGGGAAGAAAGCAGUCAUAAACGGAUGAUGCCACACAUUGAACCCAUGAUGGGAGAGCAAACAGCCUCAAUAGAAAAUAUAAAUUCUAUUUGGAGGAACACAUGAGACUUUCUUUAAAUCUGAUUGUGAAAAUAGGUUUGGUGUCAGUUGUAAUAAAGAGAACUUCAUGGAUCAUUCA